GACGAACGCUGGCGGCGUGCCUAAUACAUGCAAGUCGAGCGCAGGAAAUCGACGGAACCCUUCGGGGGGAAGUCGACGGAAUGAGCGGCGGACGGGUGAGUAACACGUAAAGAACCUGCCCUCAGGUCUGGGAUAACCACGAGAAAUCGGGGCUAAUACCGGAUGGGUCAUCGGACCGCAUGGUCCGAGGAUGAAGGGCGCUUCGGCGUCGCCUGGGGAUGGCUCUGCGGUGCAUUAGCUAGUUGGUGGGGUAAUGGCCCACCAAGGCGACGAUGCAUAGCCGACCUGAGAGGGUGAUCGGCCACACUGGGACUGAGACACGGCCCAGACUCCUACGGGAGGCAGCAGUAGGGAAUCUUCCACAAUGGACGAAAGUCUGAUGGAGCAACGCCGCGUGAACGAUGAAGGCCUUCGGGUCGUAAAGUUCUGUUGUAAGGGAAGAACAAGUGCCGCAGGCAAUGGCGGCACCUUGACGGUACCUUGCGAGAAAGCCACGGCUAACUACGUGCCAGCCGCCGCAGUAA
This 524-nucleotide ribosomal RNA is filed under the name uncultured bacterium. RNAcentral's name for it is "partial 16S ribosomal RNA". It matches the Rfam family "Bacterial small subunit ribosomal RNA", at positions 28 to 523 of the family's 1533-position model. The record is from RNAcentral.